GAUGAACGCUAGUAACAGGCUUAACACAUGCAAGUCGAGGGGCAGCAUGGUCUUAGCUUGCUAAGACUGAUGGCGACCGGCGCACGGGUGAGUAACACGUAUCCAACCUGCCGUCUACUCUUGGACAGCCUUCUGAAAGGAAGAUUAAUACAAGAUGGCAUCAUGAGUCCGCAUGUUCACAUGAUUAAAGGUAUUCCGGUAGACGAUGGGGAUGCGUUCCAUUAGAUAGUAGGCGGGGUAACGGCCCACCUAGUCUUCGAUGGAUAGGGGUUCUGAGAGGAAGAUCCCCCACAUUGGAACUGAGACACGGUCCAAACUCCUACGGGAGGCAGCAGUGAGGAAUAUUGGUCAAUGGGGCGAGAGCCUGAACCAGCCAAGUAGCGUGAAGGAUGACUGCCCUAUGGGUUGUAAACUUCUUUUAUAAAGGAAUAAAGUCGGGUAUGCAUACCCGUUUGCAUGUACUUUAUGAAUAAGGAUCGGCUAACUCCGUGCCAGCAGCCGCGGUAAUACGGAGGAUCCGAGCGUUAUCCGGAUUUAUUGGGUUUAAAGGGAGCGUAGAUGGAUGUUUAAGUCAGUUGUGAAAGUUUGCGGCUCAACCGUAAAAUUGCAGUUGAUACUGGAUAUCUUGAGUGCAGUUGAGGCAGGCGGAAUUCGUGGUGUAGCGGUGAAAUGCUUAGAUAUCACGAAGAACUCCGAUUGCGAAGGCAGCCUGCUAAGCUGCAACUGACAUUGAGGCUCGAAAGUGUGGGUAUCAAACAGGAUUAGAUACCCUGGUAGUCCACACGGUAAACGAUGAAUACUCGCUGUUUGCGAUAUACGGCAAGCGGCCAAGCGAAAGCGUUAAGUAUUCCACCUGGGGAGUACGCCGGCAACGGUGAAACUCAAAGGAAUUGACGGGGGCCCGCACAAGCGGAGGAACAUGUGGUUUAAUUCGAUGAUACGCGAGGAACCUUACCCGGGCUUAAAUUGCAGAUGAAUUACGGUGAAAGCCGUAAGCCGCAAGGCAUCUGUGAAGGUGCUGCAUGGUUGUCGUCAGCUCGUGCCGUGAGGUGUCGGCUUAAGUGCCCAUAACGAGCGCAACCCUUGUUGUCAGUUACUAACAGGUUCUGCUGAGGACUCUGACAAGACUGCCAUCGUAAGAUGUGAGGAAGGUGGGGAUGACGUCAAAUCAGCACGGCCCUUACGUCCGGGGCUACACACGUGUUACAAUGGGGGGUACAGAGGGCCGCUACCACGCGAGUGGAUGCCAAUCCCCAAAACCUCUCUCAGUUCGGACUGGAGUCUGCAACCCGACUCCACGAAGCUGGAUUCGCUAGUAAUCGCGCAUCAGCCACGGCGCGGUGAAUACGUUCCCGGGCCUUGUACACACCGCCCGUCAAGCCAUGGGAGCCGGGGGUACCUGAAGUGCGUAACCGCGAGGAGCGCCCUAGGGUAAAACUGGUGACUGGGGCUA
Molecule: ribosomal RNA, 1453 nt
Filed under: uncultured bacterium
Lineage: Bacteria
Description: bacterial SSU rRNA
Rfam family: Bacterial small subunit ribosomal RNA
Source: RNAcentral